UGUCUUGGCAUGGUGCUGGAGCACGUAGCACCGAGUCCGUCAGCAAUCAAGUUCAUAGACUCACUGAGGGUUCACCAUCUCUUUGGUCACUUGGUCCCUGAAGCACAGCUCUUUUUCCACAAAAGGCACUUUGUGGUUUCCAUACCCACUUCUCUGUGCUGACCUAUCACAGAGUAGAGACCACAGGACUCUCUUCUGGGACUAGCUUCCUUCAGUAGAAAUAUUGGUCACAUGGAUCCAGCCGAUACCUAAAUUAUAAGAAGAACAGGUAGGAAAAGAUGUUCCCAGCUGAAGACUAGGUCCUGUGACACUCUGGGCAAGACCGUGCAGGGAUGACCCAUAGGUGCCCACCAACGCAUCGUCAGCAGCCGCUGUUGAGUUUACACAGAACUGGCAGGCAUCCCAACGGCCCAAAGCAGAGGAAAAAGGAAUUCACCUCCAUCUGCAUUAUCAGCUCGUAGUGAUUCCCAAUAACAAACUCUUCAGCUUUGCAAACAGCUAAAGUGUGCAUUGUCCAUUAUGCAUGACAUUAUCCAAUUAUACAUUUCCUGAAGUUCUUUUAGGAGUAUAGGGCCUUUACAUAUGAUUUCAAUGCACCCUGAGCACUUGUCUAUGGUAGAAGAUUAUGUUUGGAACCAGUGCAGAGAAAAAUGUUUAUAAUGCUUAACUUGCUCUAUUUUUUAAAGGUGAGUAAUUGGUAUUUGAUUAUUCUAGUGCACAGUCAUAAUUUCCAUCUCAACAUGUGCUUUAUAUUGCUGGUUUCAUUCACCCAGUGUAGCAGGUGACAAUACUAAUGAUAUAUGAUAACUUCUAAUGGAUAUUUACUAGAUUUCAGGUACUGGACUAAGCAUUUUACAUGUAUUAUCUCAAUUACUCCUAAUAAAAGCACAAUUAAGUAGGUAUUGUGAUUAUCCUAUUUUUCCAUAUGAGGAAACUAAACACAGAGAACCUAAGUAACCAUGUCCAGCUUACAGAAAUAAUAAGUUGUAAAGGUAAUAGAUGAAUCAAUUAUUUCUGAGACCAGAGAUCGUUCUCUGUUGGAAUACAUUAUGAAAUAUUUUAAUAGAUUUUGGGGGCUGGUUUUGCCUAGAAACAUAAUGUGGGAGAGUAGAUCGAGUGAAGGCUAAG
Non-coding RNA from Leptonychotes weddellii (Weddell seal), 1128 nucleotides. The record is from RefSeq and is a predicted model, not a curated record. Lineage: Eukaryota; Metazoa; Chordata; Mammalia; Carnivora; Phocidae.